GGGGAAUAUUGGACAAUGGGGGCAACCCUGAUCCAGCAAUGCCGCGUGUGUGAAGAAGGUUUUCGGAUUGUAAAGCACUUUCGACGGGGACGAUGAUGACGGUACCCGUAGAAGAAGCCCCGGCUAACUUCGUGCCAGCAGCCGCGGUAAUACGAAGGGGGCUAGCGUUGCUCGGAAUGACUGGGCGUAAAGGGCGUGUAGGCGGUUUGUACAGUCAGAUGUGAAAUCCCCGGGCUUAACCUGGGAGCUGCAUUUGAUACGUGCAGACUAGAGUGUGAGAGAGGGUUGUGGAAUUCCCAGUGUAGAGGUGAAAUUCGUAGAUAUUGGGGAGAACGCCGGUGGCGAAGGCGGCAACCUGGCUCAUAACUGACGCUGAGGCGCGAAAGCGUGGGGAGCAAACAGGAUUAGAUACCCUGGUAGUCCACGCUGUAAACGAUGUGUGCUAGAUGUUGGGUAACUUAGUUAUUCAGUGUCGCAGUUAACGCGUUAAGCACACCGCCUGGGGAGUACGGCCGCAAGGUUGAAAC
RNAcentral lists this ribosomal RNA (527 nucleotides) under uncultured bacterium. Its description in RNAcentral is "partial 16S ribosomal RNA". It matches the Rfam family "Bacterial small subunit ribosomal RNA", at positions 356 to 900 of the family's 1533-position model. The record is from RNAcentral.